Long non-coding RNA from Cyprinus carpio carpio, 2266 nucleotides. Lineage: Eukaryota; Metazoa; Chordata; Actinopteri; Cypriniformes; Cyprinidae. The record is from Ensembl.
CUUUCUUCCAGGGAAUAUCAAUUACAAAACCAUUCAAAAGAAGAGAUUACAUAAGGCACUGAAAUAGACUCCACCUGAAACAAAACUCAAAUUUAUAUAUAUAUAUAUGUGUGUGUGCGCGUGUGAGUGCGUGUAUUUAAAUAGUGUUGUAAUACCACGCGUGUCCGGUAGAGGUCACAAGAGUCCUUCAGAUGAGCUUGUUCUCAAUCUGCACCUGAAGGGCUUUAUCAGUGAUGAUUGAGAACGAUUACAUUAUUAUGCCAUUUCACAAGAUGAAUAUGCACAUUAGGAGUGGAUUUGGGUUACUGUACUUAAUCCAUCUUUUUUUUUGCUCAUCAAAUCAACCUUUUUCCCUUACGAGCAAAUGCAUGCCAGCAGGCCGCAUCUUAUUUUCCCAAAUGUGAUGCAUUGCUUUAUCGCUAAUUAUGAAUAUGCAAAUGAAGGCAGGCUCAAUGAGAAGUGUUUUGAAAAAUAGACUCCCUAAGGCCUUGAUUGAUUAUAUCACACAUGAGAGUGUUUCUAUAGAGAACUGCAGAAAAAUCACACCUCGAUUUCUUUUCUUGUUGAGAUUUAUAUUGUGCAAGUAAAAUAAGUUUUGAAUUCGAUUCAAGUAGGAUUAGAUAUUUGUUUUGCAUGGAGCAAGUUUAGUCCAGCUAAAUCUGUUGUAUCCAUACUGCUGUCUGUAAAGUGAAUCUUUGAAUCAGAUAUGCAUCUGUGGAUGUCAUCAAACAUUGCAUCUGUUUGCCUGUUCAGCUGCACUUUCACAGGUUUAGUUUCUUGAGCGACGCUGAUAAUGUGCCAGAUUACGGACACUGAAGAUGUAAAAUGUGUCAGAUGUGUGUUUGUGAGCUCUGUGGUGCUUCUCACUACAGCUUUAUUUGACAGAACAGCUGUGUGAAACACAGGGAGACGAUGUCCCACGAGAUCCAGAGACCGAACAGACCUCACAAGUGCAGUUUUACUUUCCUGUGAUGACUUUUUUUUUUUUUUUUUUCUGUUGGCACAGGACAUAUUGAAGAGCUUGUCCUUUUAUUAAUGAAAGCAAGGUCUGAUAAUAAGCUGUACUUUGGAUCCAAUUAAGUCACUUUAGAUAAAAGUGUCUGUUAAAUGCAUAUGUGAAACACAUCAUUAAGACGUUUUAGCUUCAAAACAUUGGUUAAAUAUGAGACUGUAUUCGGUAAUAAUUCUUACUCUGGUGAAAAAGUGUUCUGGUGUGAAUCAGGAGAGAAAUCUGCACAGAUCAAGCAGCGUUUAAACAGCUCUAAACAAAUCUGUGGCUGGAUUUUGAUGUGAGAGACAACAGCAGAUGCACUUUUUCACUGGAGGAAGUGUUAUUAUGGAUUAUAGACUCUAUGUGUUUGAGUUAAAAAACGUCUUAAUGCUGGAUUUGUUUCAGCUUUUGUCUUCUCCAGAUGUUAACUGAUGGACUGGAGUGCUGUGGAUUACUUGUGGAUUAUUGUGAUGUUUUUAUGGACUCUCAUUCUGACGGCACCCAUUCAGAGCAUCCAUUGCUGAGACAUUUCUCCAAAUCUGAUGAAGAAACAAACUCAUCUAAACCUCGGAUGUCCUGAGGCACCAGCUGUGCUUUAAAGACUCGUCUCAUCGGCUUCUUCAAGCGUUCGUGAAGCCAUCUGUUUGAGCCUUUGUGCCUCUGUGCAGAUGUUGGAGAGAGAUUUCAGGACUCGUUUCUAAAGACUCGGGGGAGAGAAGUGUUUAGAUAAGCAUGUUAAAUUGAAGCACUUCAGACGUGGCAUUCAUCUGUCCAACAUCACAUUUCAAAUUCAAUCCUAUGUGCAUAAAAUAAAUCAUAACAUGCAGUAGCUUCUUUUUUGACUAGUGCUUCAGGCAAUAACACACUGAUGCUAUUUGCACUUUUAAUCACUGUCAUUGUUCUCUUGAACUUUCUAUUCAUCUGUGAAUCCUGAAAAUUAAAAAGUAUGACGGUUUCCACAAUAAUAACUGUUUUUAAUGAUUUCUGAAGAUCAUGUGACACUGAAGACUGGAGUAAUGAUGCUGAAAAUUCAGCUGCACAUCACAGAAAUAAAUUACAGUUUAACAGAUAUUCACAUAGAAAACACUUAUUUUAAAUAAGAAUAAUAUUUCGCAAUAUUACUGAUUUUACUGUAUUUUUAGUCAAAUUAAUGUAACAGUAGUGAGCAGAAGAGAUUAAAAUAAUUUAAACAUUUUUAACAAAUCUUAAUGGUCCCCAGCUUUUUAAUAGUAGUGUGAAUGUAGCAAAUAUGUAUUCUUUAUUCUCACACAUUUU